GCCGGAGCCAACGCGAUAAGCAUCCCGCCUGGGGAAAACGGUCGCAAGGCUAAGACUCCAACGAAGUGACGGGGACCCGCACAAGCAGCGGAGCGUGUGGUUCAAUACAAUGGUACACGAAGAACCUUACCUGGAUUUCACAUGUACGUGGUAGAGAAGCGAAACCGGUUUGACCCUUCGGGGAGUGUACACAGGUGGUGCCUGACCGUCGUCAGCUCGCGCCGUGAGGUGUCGGGUUAAGUGCAGUCAUGAGUGCAACCCUUAGCGUUACUUGCACGUAUUUAGGGAGAUUGCCGGCGAGAAGCCGGAGCCAGGUGGGGAUGACGUCAAGUCAGCAUGGCCCUUAUGUCCAGGGCUACACACACGCUAGCAUGCACACGGUAUAAAGGCCAGUCAAAGUCACGAGUCGGAGCGAAUCCCGACAGAGCCGCUGGUAGUUCGGAAUUGCAGUCGGACAACUCGCCGGCAUGAAGAAGGAGUGGCUAGUAACCGCGCGUCAGCUAGAGUGCGGAGAAUACCUACACGGCUGUGAUACACUCCGCCCGUCAUGUUCAACCAAGUCGGUCACGACUGAAGCCGGUAGC
RNAcentral lists this ribosomal RNA (584 nucleotides) under uncultured organism. RNAcentral describes it as "bacterial SSU rRNA". It matches the Rfam family "Bacterial small subunit ribosomal RNA", at positions 845 to 1434 of the family's 1533-position model. The record is from RNAcentral.